This 7821-nucleotide long non-coding RNA is filed under the name Medicago truncatula (barrel medic). RNAcentral's name for it is "long non-coding RNA (MTRU_LNC000904)". The record is from RNAcentral. Lineage: Eukaryota; Viridiplantae; Streptophyta; Magnoliopsida; Fabales; Fabaceae.
ACAAUUUGUAAUGACUUCUUCAAUGUCUUCAAGUGUUCUACUAAGCCUAUUCCUCUUUAUUUCUUUACUCCAUUUGAGCUCAGCAGCAAGAAAACUAACACAAAAUGACCAACAAUUAAAGUUCCAAUACCACAAAGGCCCUCUUCUCACCGGAAAAAUCUCCAUCAAUCUCGUAUGGUACGGUAAAUUCAAUCCAUCCCAACGAGCCAUAAUCUCUGAUUUCAUCACUUCAAUUUCCUCACCGACCAUCAAACCCCAACCAUCUGUCGCUACGUGGUGGAAAUUAACGGACAAAUACUACCAUCUCGCAAACUCACAAAACCUCGUGCUCACGACAGGUUCCCACAUCCUUGACGAGAAUUACUCAUUCGGAAAAUCACUCACCAAUGAUCAAAUCAUAAAGCUAGCAUCCAAGGGCUCACAGACAAACGCCAUCAACGUUGUUCUCACUUCGGCUGACGUGGUAGUUGAUGGGUUUUGUUCCAGUAGAUGUGGGACACAUGGUUCUUCAGUAGACCAUAAAUUUGCUUACGUGUGGGUGGGUAACUCAGAGACACAAUGUCCAGGCCAAUGCGCAUGGCCCUUUCACCAACCUAUUUAUGGGCCUCAAAGCCCACCGUUAGUUGCACCCAAUAACGAUGUGGGCCUUGACGGCAUGGUGAUUAACGUGGCUAGUUUAUUGGCUGGGGUCGUGACGAACCCAUUUGGAAAUGGGUACUAUCAAGGCCCCAAAGAAGCACCUCUUGAAGCCGCUUCGGCUUGUACUGGAGAGUUCGGUAAAGGGGCUUACCCUGGCUACGCUGGGAACCUCUUGGUGGAUCCAACAAGUGGUGCGAGUUAUAACGCUAAUGGUGUCAAUGGAAGGAAAUAUUUGUUGCCCGCACUCUUUGACCCGACAACCUCGGUUUGUUCUACUCUAGUAUAACAAAAACAUUGAACUCAAAUCCUCUUCACGGUGCAUCAAAAUCAUACCUCGUGUUCCUCUUCCUCACUGCUUGCUUGCUUUAUUCAACAUUUCCAGUUAAUCAACAUAGUCCAUGUAUAUGUGCUUGCCUAAUAGGAAAAUCACUAAGGAUAUACUCUUAUUUUACUUAUUUAAUUUUGGUGAAAAUAUACUUUUUAUUUGUUAUGGAUCAGUAUUCUUUGUUAUAUCAAUGAAUAAAAUGUGAGAAUUUUGGUGUAUCAUUAUCAACACUUGUCGAGUUUCUGGUAUUGUUUCUUAAAUAUACUAUUUGGUCCAUGGACUUGGACAAGUAGUGAUCAAAAUUAUUCUUCUCUUUCAAGGCAUGGUUUAGAUAAAUCCUUCAUAAUAAUGUCUUUGAUAGUAAUAUUUGUUUUUAGUAGACAAAUGCCAAAAAUUAAUAUGUUAAGAGAAAAUGUUAGCCAAAAAUUAAGUUUAGAUAACUCCUUUAAGUUUAUAUAAAUCCUUUAAGUUUCAAAAUAAAGGAUUUGUCUAAGAAAAACUUUUAAGUUAAAAUAACAUUAAGAGAAAGAUGAGUAUCUAAACCAUGUUAGCCAAAACUUAAAAGAAAAAUAAGAAAGAUGAGUUAGGUAAAAUUUACUUAAGUUUUUUUGCUUAAGUUAAAAUAACAUGUACAAUACUUUAGAUUAAUUUUCUUAAGUUAAAAUUUCCUUUAAAGAAAAACUUAAUGGAUUUAUCUAAACCAUGUUAGCCAAAACUUAAACGAGAAAUUAUUUUUCGAAUGCACUGAUAUAUACAAGAAACUUGAGAAAUUUUAAGACAUAUUCAAAGUUAAAAUACAAAAAUUAUAAAAAAAUUCAAGGUUAUAAAAAAGAUGAGUAUUGUAGAGUUUGUUUGUGAAUGACUAGACUAAUACUAUUUUCGAAUAACACAAAAAGAAAAUACAAAAGAAGGAAAAUGCAAGUUAAUGAAUUCACGAUAAAAUCACGUGUAAUGAACUGUUAGUGGUGGUCGUGAAAGCGCAAAGAAAAUCACAAACAAAGUUUCAAAAUUUCUAAGCGAAAUUACAAUGAGGAACUAAAACUGCAUACAAAACCUCACCUUCCUUUCCUAUUUUAAGGAUUUGAGUUAAAAAUUAGUGCAGUUAAAUCCAUAAAUCUAAGUGUUUAAUAUUAGAACUGAAAAUAUUUAUUAUAUCAUAUUAUGUGAUGAGAGUGUACAUUUAUAUAGGUAGGAGUCUUCUAGUUAACCCCUAAUUAAUAAGGAAGAUUAAUCAAUACAAUCAAUACAAUGACUAGUGGAGUUAAAACUAAAUAGUCACAACUUUUCAAUAUCUCUACUAAGUACUUGAUUAAUUAUUCUAACAGUCCCCCUUCAACCGUACGGUGUCACAAACCCCAGUUUGUCUCUAAGAUAAAGGAAUAUGGCAGUGGACAGAGGCUUAGUCAAGACAUCUGCCCACUGGUCUUGAGCAGACACAUGCGAGACAUUCAGUUCCUUCCUUAUAACCUUUUCUCUCACAAAGAAAAUAUCCAAUUCCAUGUACUUGGUUCUUGAGUGCAGGACUGGGUUGUGAGCAAGAGAAACUGCACUGAGAUUAUCACAAUAGACAUGAGAAAUUUUACUCUUAAUUUGCAAUUCAUUGAGAAGAGAAUAGAUACAAAUAAUCUAAGAAGAAGCUUGUGCAAGGCUUCUAUAUUCAGCCUCUGCACUAGAUCUAGCUACAAGGGUCUGUUUCCUUGUCCACCAGGGAAACUAGACCAGGGCCCAGAAAUAUGCAGGCUCCUGAUGUGCUCCUUCUGUCAUCAGGAUCUGAAGCUUAGUCAGCAUCACAAAAGCUGGUGAUUGCAAUAGGUUCAGUAGAGCUGGCAGGUGUAAGCAUUAACCCAUGGUGUAAAGUACCCUGCAUAUAUCUAAGUAUCCUCUUGACUGCCUUCUAGUGAUCUUCAAGGGGAUUUGAUAAGAACUGGCAAACUUUGUUCACAGAGUAGGAUAUUUCAGGUCUUGUUAUGGUUGCAUACUGCAAUGCACCAACAAUUGACUUGAAAAAUGUAGGAUCUGAGACUGUACUUGAACCAAAUUUAGACAAUUUUGUACUAGAUGCCAUUGGUGAGGGCAUGCUAUUAGCAUUAAUCAUGUUAGCUUUCUGAAGAAGGUCCUUGAAAUAUUUGGUUUGAGAGAGAAGUAAAGAGCCAGAUGGUGAGUGAUGCACCUCUAUGCCGAGAAAAUAAUCUAGUAUACCCAAAUCUUUAAGGGAGAACUUAGAAUUGAGCUGAUGAACUAAAUUUUGAAUAGCCAGUUUUGAGUUUCCAGUGAUGAUAAUAUCAUCAACAAAAACAUGAUAAUAUCAUCAAUAUAAACCAAUAUAAAAAUGCAGUGAUCUUGAGUGUGCAAAGUAAACAAAGAAGGAUCACAUCUGCUUGACUUGAACCCAAAGCUAAGUAAAGAUGAUUUCAAUCUCUCAAACAAUGCUCUGGGAGCCUGUUUUAACCCAUAAAGAGCCUUGUGUAGUUUGCAUACAAGGUUCUUGUCAGAAGAUUCAAAGCCAGGAGGCUGCACCAUGUAGACUUCCUCAGUUAGCACUUUAUAUAGGAAUGCAUUGUUCACAUCCAACUGCUGAAGAGUGCAGUUAUAAGUAACUGCAAGUGUCGGAACUGUUCUCACUGUAACAGGUUUGACUACAGGGGAAAAAGUCUCAUUGUAGUCAAAACCUGCUUGUUGAUGAAAACCCUUAGCCACUAAACGUGCCUUGUACUUGUUUAUAGUGCCAUCCAGAUUUUCUUUUACCCUGAAUACCCAUUUACAUCCAAUGGCCAGUCUGUUUGCAGGAAGAGAUACUAGAGACCAUGUCUGAUUAUGAAGUAAAGCAUUAUAUUCUUCUUGCAUUGCUAAAUGCCACUUAGGAUCCUGAAGAGCAGUUUUGUAAGUAGUGGGCUCAACAUGAGUCAAAAGGAGUGUAGGGUUAAUUAUGGGCUGCACAAUUCCAUGUUUACCUCUGGUUCUCAUUGUGUGACGGUUUUGAGGAUGAAUUCUGUGAGGAACAGAAGGAGGAGACUCAUAAUUUGAAGACUGAGAGCUAGUAACACUAGCAGAUGACUCAGGUGAGGAAUUUUGAUAUGCAAAGGGAGAUAGAAUGGUGAUGGUUAUGGGAUUUAGGACAACAUUAUUUCUGUGUGAGGACUGGGAGUGAUGAGAACUAAUAGAUGGAGUCUGAGAGGUGUUUGAUAUGGGAGUAGUAGGAAUAGACUCAGAAUGAGAAGUUUGAGGAGUAGGUGAGCUAACAAUGUGAGGAACAGACUCAAAAUGAGAAUUUUAGGGAGUAUGUGAGUUUACAGUAAAGGUUGUUGAGACAGGAGUGGGAAGAAAAGUGGAUAUAGUGGGACUAUCUGGUAAAACAGAACACACUUAAUGAGAUGGAAACAAGUCAAUAUAAGGGAAUUUUACCUCAUUAAACACAACAUCUUUGGAUAUAAAAAUUCUACCUGAAGCAUAUAAACAUUUAUAUCCUUUGUGACUGUUGGAAUAUCCCAAGAAAACACACUCCUUUGAAUGAAAAUCAAACUUAUGAGAGUUAUAGGGUCUCAAAAAGGGAAAACAUGCACAUCCAAAGCUUUUAAGGAAUUUUUAGUCUGGAAAUUGAAGGUGAAGUAAGAAAAAUGGUGAUUUAUUUGCUAAAAUUGGUGUAGGUAACCUGUUGGCAUUUGUGCAUGAGAUAAAAAGGCAUGGUCCCAAAACUUUAAUGGCAUUUGUGCAUGAGAUAAAAGAGUGAGACAAGUUUCAACAAUAUGUCUAUGUUUCCUUUCAACUGAGCCAUUUUGAUGGUGAGUGUGUGGACAAGUGAAUCUGUGAGUGAUGCCAAGGCUAUUGAGAUAUUUUGUGAAAAGUAAAAAAUCACCACCUCCAUCAGUUUAAACAGAAAUAAUUUUGUGAUUUAACUGCAAUUCAAUCAUGGUUUUAAAAUUCUGAAAUGUAGAAAGUGUGUGAGAUUUGAGUUUCAGAGGAUAUAUCCAUGUGUAUCUAGAAUAAGCAUCCACACAAAUAAGAAAAUAGGUAUAUCCACAGGAGGAUUCAACUGGUGCAGGUCCCCAAAGAUCACAACAAAUUAGUUCAAGAGGUUUAGUAUAUGUCAUUUGAGAUGCAAAAGAUAGCAGUCUAUGAACCUUACCAUGACAACAAGCAGUACAAAAAUCUGACAAGCUUUUAUUUGGUAAUUGUAUAUUACAAAGUUUGAUAAUACUUUAGAGCAUCUCAUGAUGAGGAUGUCCAAGUCUGCUAUGCCAUAUACCAUACAUGAAAGGAAAAGACUAAGUAGAAUUAGAUGUUGAACUACUAGGUAAAUGUUCAACAUUAUUACAUUGAAAAUUAUUGAAAUUGAAACGAGUUGAGGGACCUAAAUGAAAAGAGGCAGAAUUAUCAGUUUGUGCUGGAACUUUAUUGCAAACAGUGUUGACACUAAAAUUUUGAGAGACAGGAGCAGUGGUCUUGAAUGAGUUGGUGUGCUCAAAGUGAUAGAGACCAUCAUAUCCUAGAAUACCCCUUAAAAGCACCUUAGAAGAAUCCUAAGAUUUGACAAAACAAUGAUUAGAAUGAAACUCAAAAUAAACAUUUGUAUCUCCACUAAGUACUUGAUUAAUUAUUCUAACAUUUAAGACCCAACGUAUUGAUUCAACAUGAUAUAAAAGUUCACAACAAAAAAAAAAAAAUGGAGACAAAAAUAUGUAGUACAUACUAAUACAAAAAAAAUAAAAUGAAAAAGGUUUAGGGAGACAAUGAUCUCCGCUGGACCUCUUCAUAGCUCCGUUGAUAGACUUUUAACUAAACAAUUAUACUAUUGUUUUGCAUUAUUUAACCCUAUUUAAAUUUACUUUCUCCCAUUUCAAUCUUAUUAAAUGAAAUAUUAUGCCACACCAACACUUUUCUAAAUUCCUAGGAAUAAAUUUAAUUUACCUCAAUUUUUAAGAUUUAUGACCGACCUCAAGUUCGUUACACCACAUUUUAAAGUUUUUUUUUUUUUUGAAGGAAGGAAAAGUAUUGUUAGUUGUGUGUAUUUGUAUUUCACGGUUUUUGUCGUUUAUAAAAGAUAACUUGUUGAAAAAUAAUUUCACGGUUUUUUGUCCUUUUCAGAAAAUACCAUUUGCAUGAUUUUUUUUUAUUUUUUUUUUUAUAGAAAGUAUUUAAAAUUGGAUUUUUCGCAUUUAAUAUUUUUCUAAAGUCAUGCAGUCAGGAUAUUGAUCGCCUUUUGAUCUUGAUCACACAAUCCAAACAACAAUAAUUUUAACUUUUACUUUAUAAUCAUUCACACAAUCCAAAUAAUGUAAUUUUAACUUUUACUUUAUAAUCAUAAAUUCCGAACUUGAAUAAAUAUAUAUAGACCGUUUGACCUUGAUAUAUAUAACCACAACUAAUGUGUGAUCACAUGAAUUCAUGAAUUUAUUAACCGAAUUAAAUCUAGGUGGAGCUCUUAUUAAAAGGUAGUUUAAGUUGUCCCUUCACGUAAACAUCACAUAUUCACUUCAUUUUAAAUUUUAAUGUUUAAUAAGCACUUAUUCCCUCCAACUAUGCAACUCAUAAAAAAUCACUCCAUUUGUGACCUUGAAUUCAUGCAUUAAUUUUUUUAUUUAAAAUAUUAUAAAAGAAGUUGAAUAAAGAAUGCAAUGAAACCACAUUUAUGAAAGUGUGUGUUUAUACAAGCCCUCUCGCACAAAAUUUAAUUACAAUUAUACACCACAAUUUAAAUAAGGUUCUUUUUGGAGCACUUGAUAGCAAUUUUUCUUUUUUAACGAAAAUUAAAACGGGCCUUUCUACUAGUAAAAUACAUAAACAAAAAGUUAAGCAUAUUCCAUGAAGUAGAAAGGUAAAGAUGAAGACUGUGUUUGCAAUUAGCUGGCUACAUCCAUGCACUGUCCCGGUGUUACAUGGUACAUAUAGAUUAAUAGAUUAUUAUAGCAAUAAUUGCACACGGUUGAAGUAUGAAAACGUGCAUCACAAUCUAAUGGAAUUUGAUUACAUACACUACUAGUCCUAAGAAUUUAGAAAAGAAACACGUUAUCAAGCUUGGUGGUACCUCACUCUAGUCUAUUCUCCCCCUUAUUUUGACUUCCUCAGAUACACUCUUACCCACUGAUACCCUCUCUUCCUUUUUGGAGGCUCUUUUCCUACUUUCUUCGCAUUUUCUUUUCAACUUUCCAAAUCCCCUUUAAAUACCAUCAACCACGUUUCUUUUUCCAUAACCUCAAUUACAUUUCAUUUACACUUACACAUUUUGCUUAGUUUUCCUCUAUAUUACACUUUACCAAUACAAAUAUAGUUAGUACUAAUGACUUCUUCAACGUCUUUUAGUGUUCUACUAAGCCUAUUUCUCUUUAUUUCUCUACUCCAUUUGAGCUCAGCAGCAAGAAAACUAACACAAAAUGACCAACAAUUAAAGUUCCAAUACCACAAAGGCCCUCUUCUCACCGGAAAAAUCUCCAUCAAUCUCAUAUGGUAUGGUAAAUUCAAUCCUACCCAACGUGCCAUAAUCUCUGAUUUCAUCGCUUCCAUUUCCUCUCCCACCAUCAAACCCCAACCAUCCGUCGCUAUGUGGUGGAAAUUAACGGACAAAUACUACCAGCUCGCAAACUCACAAAACCUCGUCCUCACAACAGGUUCACACGUCCUUGACGAGAAUUACUCAUUUGGAAAAUCACUCACCAAUGAUCAAAUCAUAAAGCUAGCAUCCAAGGGAUCACAAACAAACGCCAUCAAUGUGGUUCUCACUUCGGCUGACGUGGUAGUUGAUGGGUUUUGCUCCGGUAGAUGUGGGAAACACGGUUCUUCAGUAAACCAUAAAUUUGCUUACGUGUGGGUGGGUAACUCAGAGACACAAUGUCCAGGUCAAUGUGCGUGGCCCUUUCACCAAC